Molecule: long non-coding RNA, 1207 nt
Filed under: Mustela putorius furo (domestic ferret)
Lineage: Eukaryota; Metazoa; Chordata; Mammalia; Carnivora; Mustelidae
Description: lncRNA (ENSMPUG00000028949.1)
Source: RNAcentral
AGGGCUUAGGGGAUAGAAGGCAGUUAAGCUUCUAAUAAAGUCUUUGUCCCUUGAGUUUCAGGGGGUGACGAUGAUCCAGAGCAAGGGGCAGAAAGAUUACCCAAUCACAGAGAGAAGGGGAACCAUGUACUUCAGGCUUUUGAAAUCUUGGUCAGCCCACACCUCCAACCCUCCAGAUCUACCAGGUUGUUUUGAUUUUAACUUUUCCUUUGAAGUGUCAUCAAGUCUGACUGAUAAAUUUUUUUUCAAGUGGAUCAAAAUGAGACUGAAUCCCUUCAGGAAGCAGGGCUGGUUCUGUGUGUGGUGGUGUAUGUCCACUUGAGGUCUGACUAGUCAAAGGUUCCAUUAUCUGAGGGGCUGAUGGUCACUCCAGACACAACAUAAGGGGAUAUGAAGCCCACUUCUGUUGUUGCCAGUGAAUGUUGUGUGGAUAUUAAUUAGAUGUACAAUAUCUACUUGAAGACAGUCUAGGAAUAAAAACAAGAGUGCGUUAUUGAAAGAUAGCAAGUGGACACCUUUGAUAAAGGUUUCAAAGGAUGGAAUUACAGAGAAAGAAAAUCACCUCUUAAAGGGGGACUUUAGGCCAUUAAGGUUGGAUGUGGGGCAAGCUGGAGGCAAUCUGUAAAUGCAUCAGAAGAUAUAAUAAUUUCUCAUCUAUGCACCAUGGUGGUCAAAAUCUUUCUUUUGGUUCUUUGAGCAUCUUCUCUCUUUAGUACAUGUGCAAGUGACCAAGUUCAUGUUUCCUGGAGGUAACAUUAAAAAAAUAGGGGAACUUAGCUGGAACUUGCCAGUUUGGAGACCAAAACAGGACAAGGACUUAGUAGGGGAUUUAGAGAUUGGUGAGAGAAGACCAGCUCUAAAGGCAUUUUUGCUAUAUAUAUAUAAAUAUGUGAUUUCCAUAGCUAUCUGGCUCGUCCUAACAGUCCUUAGUCUUUGUGGGAAAUUCAGAAAAGUGUAAAGAAGAAAAAAAUGAUCAGACACAAACACAUAUCAAUACUUUGAUGCACUUCCUUCUCAGUCUAUUUUGAGCAGAGUGAAUUCUGGCCCAGAGUUUUUCAAUUAAUGUUAAAUUGUGGACAUUUCUCUGUCAAAAAGAAUCCUUCAUAAAUGUUAUUUUUGAUAGCUACAUUGUAUUCCAACUUUGGGAUCUACUGUCAAUUUUAAAACUUCAUUCAGAUUAUUAAAUUAAAAUAUGCAUGUGUUUCUG